GGCGAACGCUGGCGGCGUGCUUAACACAUGCAAGUCGAACGGAAAGGCCCCUUUGGGGGUACUCGAGUGGCGAACGGGUGAGUAACACGUGAGUAACCUGCCCUUGACUUCGGGAUAACUUCAGGAAACUGGGGCUAAUACCGGAUAGGAAUCCUUGCUGCAUGGUGGGGGUUGGAAAGCUUCGGCGGUUUUGGAUGGACUCGCGGCUUAUCAGCUUGUUGGUGGGGUAGUGGCUUACCAAGGCUUUGACGGGUAGCCGGCCUGAGAGGGCGACCGGCCACAUUGGGACUGAGAUACGGCCCAGACUCCUACGGGAGGCAGCAGUGGGGAAUAUUGCACAAUGGGCGGAAGCCUGAUGCAGCAACGCCGCGUGCGGGAUGACGGCCUUCGGGUUGUAAACCGCUUUCAGCAGGGGCGAAGCUUUUGUGACGGUACCUGCAGAAGAAGCACCGGCUAACUACGUG
RNAcentral lists this ribosomal RNA (464 nucleotides) under uncultured bacterium. RNAcentral describes it as "partial 16S ribosomal RNA". It matches the Rfam family "Bacterial small subunit ribosomal RNA", at positions 28 to 507 of the family's 1533-position model. The record is from RNAcentral.